GCUCAGAGUAUAAGCCAAUGGAGCUUGGAAGGCUUCCGCAGCCGGGUUCAUCAUACGUGGUGUCCUUAAGACCUUGAGUAAAGCUCGUCAGGCGUAGCAUUGAGUUUGCCAGGUUUAGCUGUCGUGCGGGGGCUUAGCGAGGGGGGACUUUGCUUCGGCUUAGCUAUCUCCCGAGCGGCCCUUUGGAAUGGACGUUCAGAGGCUCUUGGUCUAAUGCGGUUAUGCCCACCACAGCACGUUGUGAGGUCACCCACAGGCUCAAACUGCCGAUCGCGCAUCCAGGACGAUGGCAACGAUGCGUUGUUGAUGAUGGCUCGAAAGAGACUUGACUCAGACGCGUGUCUAGUCCUGGGUCGGGCGGCGACCGAGAUAAACCUGGUAUGAUCCUCUUGCGACGAGCUGCUUUCUGGCCAGACCGACGUCCGGGCGCUUCCACUGUGCCGGAAGUGUCUAUCCCAGGCGGUCUUGACCCAGCUGCAUUAUGCAAGGUCUCUCAGCCGGGCGUUGGUCUGAGUGGUGUUAAGUCCAGCACCAUUGGUCACGUCUCGAAACACGGGCCAAGGAGUAUAGCAUGUGUGCAAGUCUAAGGGUCUCACAAAACCCGAAGGCGAAGUGAAAGCAAGACUGUGGCGGGUGAGCUACGGCAAACCCGCCGGCCUGGUGGCGCGUGCGUCGCCGGCUUAAACAGAGCUGAUCCUGUUUUCUCGGUUAAUUCUUGGUGCAGGCGCAAGCUCCGGGCUCACGUACAACACUGGUCACGCCUCGUG
RNAcentral lists this ribosomal RNA (767 nucleotides) under Niphargus sphagnicolus. RNAcentral's name for it is "partial 28S ribosomal RNA". Lineage: Eukaryota; Metazoa; Arthropoda; Malacostraca; Amphipoda; Niphargidae. The record is from RNAcentral.